CUAAUCAAAUACUCAGAAAGAGACAAGGAUAAUAAGACAUUUCUUAUUCCAUACUCUAGGACAAAUUCGCACAAGUGUUCCUUCUUUCCAAGUGCCAUUUAGUGAAUGAAACGGGUUGCCUGAAUCAGACAGGAAAACGAUGGCUUAGCAGAGAUAUGGAAUCGGAGAUGUUCGUCUGGUGAAGUUUUUUUUCUCUUGUAAGAUAUCAAAAGGGAGAUAAUACCUUUCCACAACUUUCAAUCGACAGGGAAGAUAAAAAGACUUAAGGGCCCACUCUUCCUAGACAUGGCGCCCAGCCCAAGUUCCCCCAUACAAAGCUGAAAAGGCCUUGAGAUAGGACACUCAUUAAGAGUUAAAAAGUUUCUCAGCGUUGCGCGCGCCUCGAGUGUGAUGACGUCAUUUUUAUUGUUUACGUUGACUACAAGAGGAGACAACUCUCAUAAAUCACUUUGUUUUCUUUGAAUCUAUUUUUAAGUAAU
Molecule: long non-coding RNA, 479 nt
Organism: Biomphalaria glabrata
Lineage: Eukaryota; Metazoa; Mollusca; Gastropoda; Planorbidae
Exons: 3
Source: RefSeq, a predicted model, not a curated record